GACGAACGCUGGCGGCGUGCUUAACACAUGCAAGUCGAACGAGAAUCUACUGAAAGAGUUUUCGGACAAUGGAAGUAGAGGAAAGUGGCGGACGGGUGAGUAACGCGUGAGGAACCUGCCUUGAAGAGGGGGACAACAGUUGGAAACGACUGCUAAUACCGCAUGAAGCAUAGGGGUCGCAUGAUUCUUAUGCCAAAGAUUUAUCGCUUCAAGAUGGCCUCGCGUCUGAUUAGCUGGUUGGCGGGGUAACGGCCCACCAAGGCGACGAUCAGUAGCCGGACUGAGAGGUUGAACGGCCACAUUGGGACUGAGAUACGGCCCAGACUCCUACGGGAGGCAGCAGUGGGGAAUAUUGGGCAAUGGGCGCAAGCCUGACCCAGCAACGCCGCGUGAAGGAAGAAGGCUUUCGGGUUGUAAACUUCCUUUAAGAGGGAAGAGCAGAAGACGGUACCUCUAGAAUAAGCCACGGCUAACUACGUG
RNAcentral lists this ribosomal RNA (480 nucleotides) under uncultured bacterium. Its description in RNAcentral is "partial 16S ribosomal RNA". It matches the Rfam family "Bacterial small subunit ribosomal RNA", at positions 28 to 507 of the family's 1533-position model. The record is from RNAcentral.